UCCUUUGAAGUUUAUGUUAGAAAUCUGGAAAUUUUAGAGAAUUGUUGAAAUAGGAUUUUAUUUCUUAAGCUUUGUUUUCGUGAGCGUCAUCUUUGGUGCGACAUGUUAUGUAUAUCUUUAGGAAACCAGAAUGUUUAGAGUUUUAAUACUCGGUUGGGUUGUUGGCAGGCCGAGAAGAAUUAAACCGAGCUUAUAGACCAAGGAUCUAGCCCAAGACUGUAGAGAUCGAGUUCCCGGUGCCUGAUAGACUGCCUUAGUCUGCGGAAGCUUCAUUAUCGAUUGCCAGUACGUGUUUUGAGUUGGGCAUAGAGUCUGUUGUGUUGUGAUGUAUAUACACCCUUGUAUGUUAUAGAUACUCCACAGUUUGUAUAAGCUUUAGGAGCUGUAGUUGUGUAAAUUUUGUUGGUUAUAUUUUGAUUAAGGUGUCUUUAGGUUUACUCGUGAAAUCGGUAAAUUUUGAGGUACACUUCAUGUAUGUGUUUGACUAGCUGUGUUUGACUAGCCUAGGAUCCGCUGUGUUUUGUGGCAUGUACAAUAGUUUAUAUACUAGAUUGGCAAGUUCA
Cucumis melo (muskmelon) is the source of this 563-nucleotide long non-coding RNA. RefSeq lists it as uncharacterized. The record is from RefSeq and is a predicted model, not a curated record. The transcript has 2 exons. Lineage: Eukaryota; Viridiplantae; Streptophyta; Magnoliopsida; Cucurbitales; Cucurbitaceae.